AGGGGGGCGGAAAAAAUUGAAGCCCGAUGCACUGCCAACAUUGAACUUGCCGCAGCGCAGAUUUGACAAGCAAAAGCUGCCUCGCAAGCCACCGGCAAAGAGAGCCCCUGUUUCAAGGCAAUCAAGGAUGUCAGGAAGCAUAGCCGACGAUGUUACAGGUCAUGCCUCUGUUCAUGAGGAAAAUCCUGCUGAGGAGGCUGCGUACGAUGG
Molecule: non-coding RNA, 210 nt
Organism: Dermacentor albipictus
Lineage: Eukaryota; Metazoa; Arthropoda; Arachnida; Ixodida; Ixodidae
Source: RefSeq, a predicted model, not a curated record